GUGGAUAAGACAUGCAAGUCGAACGGGACUUUUUUUGGUAGCAAUACUAGAGAAAGUUUAGUGGCGAACGGGUGCGUAACACGUGGGCAAUCUGCCGAGAAGUGGGGGAUAGCUCGCCGAAAGGCGAAUUAAUACCGCAUAUGAUCAGGGACGACAUCUUCCCAACAUCAAAGCCGGGGCAACCUGGCGCUUCUUGAUGAGCCCGCGGCCUAUCAGCUAGUUGGUGAGGUAACGGCCCACCAAGGCUACGACGGGUAGCUGGUCUGAGAGGACGACCAGUCACACUGGAACUGAGACACGGUCCAGACACCUACGGGUGGCAGCAGUCGAGAAUUUUUCUCAAUGGGGGCAACCCUGAAGGAGCGACGCCGCGUGAGGAUGAAGGCUUUCGGGUUGUAAACUCCUGUCAUUUGAGAACAAGUGGGACGCAGUAACUACGCGUCCCUUGAUAGUAUCAGAAGAGGAAGGGACGGCUAACUCUGUGCCAGCAGCCGCGGUAAUACAGAGGUCCCAAGCGUUGUUCGGAUUCAUUGGGCGUAAAGGGUGCGUAGGUGGCGUGGUAAGUCGGGUGUGAAAUUUCGGAGCUUAACUCCGAAACUGCAUUCGAUACUGCCGUGCUUGAGGACUGGAGAGGAGACUGGAAUUUACGGUGUAGCAGUGAAAUGCGUAGAGAUCGUAAGGAAGACCAGUGGCGAAGGCGGGUCUCUGGACAGUUCCUGACACUGAGGCACGAA
This 734-nucleotide ribosomal RNA is filed under the name uncultured soil bacterium. RNAcentral describes it as "bacterial SSU rRNA". It matches the Rfam family "Bacterial small subunit ribosomal RNA", at positions 44 to 757 of the family's 1533-position model. The record is from RNAcentral.